GACGAACGCUGGCGGCGUGCUUAACACAUGCAAGUCGAACGGAAAGGCCCUGCUUUUGUGGGGUGCUCGAGUGGCGAACGGGUGAGUAACACGUGAGUAACCUGCCCUUGACUUUGGGAUAACUUCAGGAAACUGGGGCUAAUACCGGAUAGGAGCUCCUGUUGCAUGGUGGGGGUUGGAAAGUUUCGGCGGUUGGGGAUGGACUCGCGGCUUAUCAGCUUGUUGGUGGGGUAGUGGCUUACCCAGGCUUUGACGGGUAGCCGGCCUGAGAGGGUGACCGGCCGCAUUGGGACUGAGGUACGGCACAGACGCCUACGGGAGGCAGCAGUGGGGAAUAUUGCACAAUGGGCGGAAGCCUGAUGAAGCAGCGCCGCGUGCGGGAUGGCGGCCUUCGGGUUGUAAACCGCUUUCGCCUGUAACGAAGCGUGAGUGACGGUAAUGGGUAAAGAAGCAACGGCUAACUACGUG
RNAcentral lists this ribosomal RNA (468 nucleotides) under uncultured bacterium. RNAcentral describes it as "partial 16S ribosomal RNA". It matches the Rfam family "Bacterial small subunit ribosomal RNA", at positions 28 to 507 of the family's 1533-position model. The record is from RNAcentral.